RNAcentral lists this long non-coding RNA (2417 nucleotides) under Homo sapiens (human). RNAcentral's name for it is "HSALNT0284128". The record is from RNAcentral. Lineage: Eukaryota; Metazoa; Chordata; Mammalia; Primates; Hominidae.
CUUUUUUUUUGGAAAAAUGUUUUAUUUAAACCUUUUUAAUCUUUUACAACAAUAAAAUAUUGCGUCAAUAUAAACCCCUUGACUAAAACUUCACAUCAAACAUUACAGCGAAUUGUUUUCUUUUUGACAUCCAACUUAUCUGUGAAAGAAUUUCCUUUUAAACACAAUGCAGAAUUUAUUGAAAAUAAAUAAUUGUUGGCAACUGCAAUAGGCAAUUUGAAUAAAAUAGUUGAAAAAGCAACUCUUAAUGAAAAUAGCGUUUAUUAUACAUCAGUUACUAAAUGAAUAAACUAAAUGAUCUUUCUUUAAAUUAAUAACUUCAAAAACGUUUAAUAUACAAAACUGUACAGUUAUAAAGUCGGCAGAAAUAUUUGGGUUAACUCAGGUUCGAACCAUAGCAAUUAACUGCAAAGAAAAAAAAUCGAAACAAACAAAAAACUCCCAACAGUUGUAAAACAUGAACUCAGUGUGGGGGAAAAAAAAAUAAAAUCCCAGAACUAAAACCUAACUACCAACAGAAUGCAGAGACUUGACAAAAAAGUAGAAGGGUCCGGGAUUUGAAUUAACACAUGCUCUUCGACCUGCAGCUGAGGGAGACACAGUGUGGUGGACCAGAGGCCUGGCAACUCAUACUAACGCAUCCUCGACAACCGGGCCGGGCUUUCUGGUCCUUAGGUAGUUUGAAGCUUUGUCUACAGCAGCUGCGCCUAAAGGCCGGACUAGGCGGCCAGCAGUGGCGUGCAGCGCCCCCAGCCAGGUCUGGCCGGCGGCGGCUGGGUGUUGGGUGCUUGGCCGGCCUCACACGUGUGUGCUCCUUGGGAAUGAGGUUCGCCUGUGGACCUGGUGUGUGGAUACUAGCUAGCAAUAAAGCCACAGCAACUGCAUAUUUUUGGGAUCUCUACACAGCCUAGCCAGGUUUUUUUUUUUUUUUGUACUUUUUGUUUUUGUACAUAGUAACGCGAUACACACAGCUAUCUACACACACACGUUUGCACGCGCACGCACACACACACACGCACAGAGACACAUACACACAGAGAUUUAAAAAUAUAUAUAUAUUUAUAUUUUAAAAAGCAGGAACCCAGCCUCCCGGGCGCUCGCUAGCUCGCUGGAUCGUCGCUGUGGGCUUCCACCAGCUGUGCUUAUCAGAAACGCCGAGACAGCUCCCCACGAGCCCACACACAGACAGCGGUAUAUACAUGGGGGGAGAGGUGGUACGCGGAUGGACCAGAAUCCCUGUGACCUUUGCCAAUCAUUUCAUUGCCGUUCUGCACUGAGCAGAGAAUGCCUAUCCCCCACUCCCUCGCCACCCCUCCCCAAGGGUUUCUUACUCAGAGGGGGCGGUGAACUGGAGGUGAACCGAAAUGGGAGGCGCUGGCCCAGUCGCCAGCGUCUCCGGGUCGUGAUCUCCAGUGAAAGUAAUCGCGUGUGAAGGCAAAGUCUUUCCUCUAGGAGGGCCGAAGUGAGGUCGCGCGGAAGGUCGCCCUAGCGAGGCUGGGGGCCUGGAUUUCUGCGCGCAGGAAUCCUGGAGUCCGGUGAGUGCGGAGCCCUCCCAGACUGUCAGGCCACCUCUUUGGCCCAGAGUUGCCGCCGAAUCCUUCUCAGAUACCUCGAUCUAUGCUGCGGUAGCCUGCGCGGGCUCCACACUUCCAGGAGGGAGGGCAGAAAGCUGCGAAAUCGCCGCUGCUACUUCGCACUAGUUUGCAAACCUAAUAGGCUUCCCUAUUCUGCCCUUCCUAGGCACUCCACCCCGGAAAAAAAAUAUAACCAAUAUCAUCAUCAAUAACUCUCUUCGUUGUAUCCUCUCCUCCUCAUAGAGAUUUGGGAAGGGGGGGGGCGGUGAGUAGAUAGGCAUCUCUCUCCCCGCCUAUUCCCAUUCAUCUCCUCCCUUUUCUAAGCAAUUAAAAAGCCAUCAGCUCAACGAAGUAGUAAUAAUAAUAGCAAUAAUAACAUGGAGUGGUCGAUUAGAUACAAAUUAUCUCACAAAUAUUGUGUACAGAUUGUAGUAAAACACCGCAGACAUUUAGAAACGCUAUAGAAGUUUUUAAAAAUGCAAAACUAGUCUAUUGUAAAACAAAUUUCACCUGAAAUACAGCUGCUAUAACCAAGGCGCUGAAAGGUUAUUCAGAGGCACACAUCUGUCUUCCCAAUCCCUCCCCCGCCCCACCCCGCCCCCACGUUAUCCCACUCCUUGUUCUUCCUAGAGAGGAGCGACCAAACAAACCUUACUCUGAGUAAACAAUAUGUAUUGAUCAGCAGAAAAGGCUAAAGGGAACUGUUGCCCGGGGAGCCAGGAAUAUGAGAUCCCAGCUUGGACUGCUUAAUGUAACUGUGUAUCAGCAUUGAGAAGCCUGAAUGAGAGAAACCAGACACGCACCACUUCCUUCUCCAACUGGAGGCUGUCUGCCAGCGAGGAG